CAGUCGCCACGGUAAUACAGAGGGUGCGAGCGCUAAUCGGAUUUACUGGGCGUAAAGCGUGCGUAGGCGGCUUCUUAAGUCGGAUGUGAAAUCCCUGAGCUUAACUUAGGAAUUGCAUUCGAUACUGGGAAGCUAGAGUAUGGGAGAGGAUGGUAGAAUUCCAGGUGUAGCGGUGAAAUGCGUAGAGAUCUGGAGGAAUACCGAUGGCGAAGGCAGCCAUCUGGCCUAAUACUGACGCUGAGGUACGAAAGCAUGGGGAGCAAACAGGAUUAGAUACCCCCGUAGUCCCUGUCUCUUAUAC
RNAcentral lists this ribosomal RNA (301 nucleotides) under uncultured bacterium. RNAcentral's name for it is "partial 16S ribosomal RNA". It matches the Rfam family "Bacterial small subunit ribosomal RNA", at positions 509 to 807 of the family's 1533-position model. The record is from RNAcentral.